This is a non-coding RNA of Momordica charantia (bitter melon), 332 nucleotides long. NCBI's taxonomy places the organism in Eukaryota, Viridiplantae, Streptophyta, Magnoliopsida, Cucurbitales, Cucurbitaceae. The record is from RefSeq and is a predicted model, not a curated record.
UUCCUUCUUUUGCAUUCAUAGCAAUGGAAUAACUUGGCCCAAGAAGUUAAAUCAGUAGUAAAAGAAUACCCAAAGCUCCGACUAACCCCAGGAAGAAAGGUAUUAGAAAUUCGUCCGACCAUCAAGUGGGACAAAGGGAAGGCCUUAGAAUUUUUGUUGGAAUCACUGGGUUAUGCAAAUUGUUCGGAUGUAUUUCCUAUUUAUAUUGGAGAUGAUCGAACCGAUGAAGAUGCAUUUAAGGUUCUAAGAGAAAGGGAGCAAGGCUUUGGCAUUCUCGUGUCUAAAAUUCCUAAAGACACCCACGCUUCCUAUUCUUUGCGAGAACCUUCCGA